Molecule: transfer RNA, 74 nt
Filed under: Pseudomonas sp. p99-361
Lineage: Bacteria; Pseudomonadati; Pseudomonadota; Gammaproteobacteria; Pseudomonadales; Pseudomonadaceae
Description: tRNA-Val
Rfam family: tRNA
About the family: Transfer RNA (tRNA) molecules are approximately 80 nucleotides in length. Their secondary structure includes four short double-helical elements and three loops (D, anti-codon, and T loops).
Source: RNAcentral
CACAUAGCUCAGUUGGUUAGAGCACCACCUUGACAUGGUGGGGGUCGUUGGUUCGAGUCCAAUUGUGCCUACCA